GCACCGCCGCCCCAGGCCCCGCAGCCGCCGCGUCGCCGCCAUUUUUUAAAGGGUCCGCAGCCUGACUCUGCGGAGUAAGGGGGGCUGGAGCGGGGGGAGUCGGCCUCGCCAGUGCGCAUGCGCGAGGCCCAAGCCGCCGCUUGGGUCAAAGUGAAAGCCACCGUUGCCCGGGGAUGGGUCCCUGACACUUGGCGAAGUAGGAGCCCUGUGUGAUCGUGCGUCUGAGUCUGGGCUGAGACCAGUCCUGGCCAGGGCAGUUACCAGGACGGUCUCCGGAGGCCGGGAUUCGCGGAGGGUCCACCAGCAGGAAGAAACCCCAAGAGGAAGAAACCUCAGACAGAUCGCCGGCGAGGCAGCGCGGGAUCCCAGCCUCAGGCGUGCGCGGACGGUGUGCGGGUGGAAACCCCCUUCCCAUGGGGUGAAGCGCAGUCUGCUCCAGAGACCCACUGUUAGGGUCGGGGAUGUCACAGAAAUUAACAGGGCAGCCAAUUCCCAUCCAGAGGGGCCCAGGAUGACCCCGAACCCUCUAGCUCAGCCCCAAGCUCGGGCCAGGGAGUGAAGCCUUUGUCCCCAAGCAACAGAGUGAGGGUCUGUCUCUAACCCGGUGGGCUCCAGUGAAAGGAAAAUGGCCUGGAGGUGCCCACAGGAGGGCGCCCUAGUUCUGAGACAGGUCUACGGCUCCCAGACUGUGUCCCCAUGAGUAACAGAGGGACACGCAGAGGGGCAUACUGAGUGCCUAUAGGGGACUCACAGACUGCAGAUGCACGCUGCGGAUCCAGAAGCCGGUCAGGUAAUGAGGUGCAGAGGUGUGGGGAAGACCUGGGUGCCUCCCUGGGUGCCAACCAGCCUAACCAGCCGGGGCCACCAAACAGAAGUGCUUCUGACAUUAACGCGACACACAGAAGCGCACACAACCAAGCUUAGGAGCCGACUGUUAAGAUGCCCCAGUGACACGGACAAGUUUCUCCUCUGCAACCCAAUGAGAGCUGCUGACCACGAGAGCAUCGCGGGACCGCCAAAGGAUUCUGGAAAAUGUGGUCCCGGGUGGCCAGUGUGCGCUGACCUUCACCUGAAGGUACGGCUUGAAGGAAACUUCUGGAGGGUGGGGUGGUGUUGAAGAGAAGGCACAAUUGUCACCAUUUUGUUCAACAUGGGCGUUUUCUUUGUGCAUUGAUUUGCAUUUUUAAAGAUCCUAUGUGUCAGAGGUCGGGAAACUACAUCAGCCCCAGUCCGGGCGCCC
This 1240-nucleotide long non-coding RNA is filed under the name Homo sapiens (human). Its description in RNAcentral is "HSALNT0397777". Lineage: Eukaryota; Metazoa; Chordata; Mammalia; Primates; Hominidae. The record is from RNAcentral.